RNAcentral lists this small RNA (525 nucleotides) under Rattus norvegicus (Norway rat). Its description in RNAcentral is "uncharacterized LOC108351236". Lineage: Eukaryota; Metazoa; Chordata; Mammalia; Rodentia; Muridae. The record is from RNAcentral.
AUAGCAGGAGCUGGAAGGCGGGGACUGCCAGCCAUUAGGUGAUCAUAUCAGGGAAAUUCAAACAUAGAGAAGAGUUUCAUUUCCCUCCGUGCUUUGGGAUUUCUCACUGAACCCAGAACUCAGAUUCUACCAAACAGCUGUCCAGUGAGCUCGUGGCAUUCACCUGCCUGUGUCCCCAGUUAAGACUACAGGAGUACCACCACAGCCACAUUUUAAUGUGGGUCCUCAUGCAUGCACAGAAAGACUAAGCUGGACCUGAUGACACAGUCCUAUAACCUGAGUACUUGAGAUUUGGAGGUGGGAGAAUUUUGAAUUCAAGACCACCCUGGGCUCCACAUCAAGACUGUGUGGUAGGUAUUUUUGUGUCACUGUGACAAAAAACUGAGAGAAGCAACCUAAGGGAGGAAGUGCUCACUUAGGCACCCAGUUUCACAGUGCUUCAGCACACGCAGAAGAUGGAGGCAGGAGAUGCUCGCAUCCUGGCUGGCCUGGUACUUGCUAUGGAGACCAGACUGAUCUUACAUA